This 484-nucleotide ribosomal RNA is filed under the name uncultured bacterium. RNAcentral's name for it is "partial 16S ribosomal RNA". It matches the Rfam family "Bacterial small subunit ribosomal RNA", at positions 28 to 523 of the family's 1533-position model. The record is from RNAcentral.
GGUGAACGCUGGCGGCGUGCUUAACACAUGCAAGUCGAACGAGAACGGGUUAUAGCUUGCUAUAAUUGUCAGCUAAGUGGCGCACGGGUGAGUAAUGUAUAGGUAAUAUGCCUCUUACUAAGGGGUAACAAAUGGAAACGUUUGCUAAUACCUUAUACUCCUUAUUAACAUAAGUUAAUAAGGGAAAGAUUUAUUGGUAAGAGAUUAGCCUGUAUUGUAUCAGUUAGUUGGUGGGGUAAUGGCUUACCAAGACUAUGACACAUAACUGGUUUGAGAGGAUGAUCAGUCACACUGGAACUGAGACACGGUCCAGACUCCUACGGGAGGCGGCAGUGGGGAAUAUUGCACAAUGGACGAAAGUCUGAUGCAGCAACGCCGCGUGGAGGAUGACACAUUUCGGUGCGUAAACUCCUUUUAUAUGAGAAGAUAAUGACGGUAUUAUAUGAAUAAGCACCGGCUAACUCCGUGCCAGCCGCCGCGGUAA